AAAUCGGUCCUUUUCAGGACCACAAAAUAUUUUAAACAAAGAGAUUG
This is a non-coding RNA of Drosophila virilis, 47 nucleotides long. The record is from Rfam. Lineage: Eukaryota; Metazoa; Arthropoda; Insecta; Diptera; Drosophilidae.